RNAcentral lists this long non-coding RNA (1421 nucleotides) under Anser cygnoides (Swan goose). RNAcentral's name for it is "lncRNA (ENSACDG00005016945.1)". The record is from RNAcentral. Lineage: Eukaryota; Metazoa; Chordata; Aves; Anseriformes; Anatidae.
CAGUUUUCAAACAUUGUGUAAAUUACGUAUUUUUACAUAUCUAUUCUAUAUGUCACUGUUUUCUUAUAUCAGUCCAAAUGUAAUGUUAAAAAAUAAAAUAAAGGUAACAGAAAGAACAAAAUGAGAGUUUUACAUGCCUAUGUGGAAACCUUGCAGGUACAUUCUGGAUGGUCUUGUGUUCUGUACUGGGUCCAUUCUGCAGUGGGUCUCAUUUCAUUAAAAAGGUGACAGCAUUGACAUCAGCUUGAUGUACAGACUUGUAACCAUGCUGAACAUUUUAUAUUCCUUUGCUCUCCUUGGUCUCUUCCUGUUUCUUCUGUAUCAAAGCUAUAGGAAGAAAAUUGUAAAGAAGAGAUGGAGACCCAAUGGAGGAAAUAAAUGCUUCCUUAAGAAAGAAACAAAGAAAUACACAAACCUGUAAUAAAAAGGAAGGAUUCAUGUUGGUUGAAGUAAUGCUUGGACUCCAGCAAGCAAUGAAAACUCAUUACUAAAGAGUCAGGAAAAAAUGGAUCAGUAUCAUGGUAACAGAAAUUUGCAUUCAAUUAUUCUUUUGUUUAACUCUGAGCUCCUCCUGUCCCUUGACGAUGAUACUUUUGGACAAAGUAACAGACUCUUCCAUCUUCCUGCAGUAGAUGUGUGCAGUAUGUAGAGCCAUCAGCCCGAUCUGAGGGCUUUGUUGGGGGCUACAGCAUCACUGACAGAUGACAGCAUUCUUAUAACCUGAUUUUGUCCACUUGUUGGUGUCCUGAUGCACAGUGUAACAAUAAGAAUUUCCGCUAGGAGAUAUUGCCACUGGGAAAUGAGUGGUUGUACUAGCUAAUGACAGGAUUGCAGAACGGCUAUCUCCUAUCACAGAGGAAUGACUGUGAAAAUUCUAUGGUGGUUCUAUGAUAUAUCAGGAGAGGUGCUCUCAGGAGCUGAACUGACACAGUGAAACCUCUCUGUCAUUUUAAAGGCCCUAGUGAGAUUUCAUCUCUAAUAUCAUGUUCCAUUUUGGUCCACAUAUUAAGGAAAAAUGAAUUGAAAUUGUAACAGCUGCAGAGAAGGGUUGUAGGGUCUUUCACAGGAAUGAAGAGCAUAUCUCUCAGAAAAAGACUUUGAGAGAUUAAUCCAGCAAAAUGAAACCUAAGGGAAGAUAUUGUUACUGUAUAUGAGUGGGGGCAAGCAUGUGAGAGUGAACUGUUUUUUAACAUAAAGGAUCAGCCUCGCAUGGGAACAAGUGUCUAUAAGCUGGCUGUGAGGAAGCUGAAGCUGGAAUGAGAAGACAGGUUCUAACUCUCAGAGAGCAGUUCUGGGUCAACCAGUCACAGGUACUGAGGGCAAUUCACCCCCAAAUGCUUUAAAGAUAGAACUUGGAGAGUAUAUGAAAGCGAUUUCAUGUUUGAUUUGUCUGCAGGGAAGUGACCAAAGAGGUCUCUGGC